GACGAACGCUGGCGGCGUGCUUAACACAUGCAAGUCGAGCGAUUAAAGCCCCCUUCGGGGGGUGUAUAGAGUGGCGAACGGGUGAGUAACACGUGGGCAAUCUGCCUCAAGGACCGGGAUAACUUCGGGAAACCGGAGCUAAUACCGGAUAACAACGUAGUGUCGCAUGGCACUUCGUUCAAAUGGUCCGCCUCCUUGAGAUGAGCCCGCGGCCCAUUAGCUUGUUGGUAGGGUAACGGCCUACCAAGGCUGCGAUGGGUAGCCGACCUUGGAGGGUGACCGGCCACGUUGGGACGGAGACACGGCCCAGACUCCUAUGGGAGGCAGCAGUGGGGAAUUUUGCGCAAUGGGGGAAACCCUGACGCAGCAACGCCGCGUGCGGGAUGACGGCCUUCGGGUUGUAAACCGCUGUCAGGAGGGACGAAGCGAAAGUGACGGUACCUCCAGAGGAAGCCCCGGCUAAUUACGUGCCAGCAGCCGCCGCGG
This 486-nucleotide ribosomal RNA is filed under the name uncultured bacterium. RNAcentral describes it as "partial 16S ribosomal RNA". It matches the Rfam family "Bacterial small subunit ribosomal RNA", at positions 28 to 523 of the family's 1533-position model. The record is from RNAcentral.